RNAcentral lists this ribosomal RNA (567 nucleotides) under uncultured bacterium. Its description in RNAcentral is "partial 16S ribosomal RNA". It matches the Rfam family "Bacterial small subunit ribosomal RNA", at positions 355 to 914 of the family's 1533-position model. The record is from RNAcentral.
UGGGGAAUUUUGGACAAUUGGGCGAAAGCCUGAUCCAGCAAUGCCGCGUGUGUGAAGAAGGCCUUCGGGUUGUAAAGCACUUUUGUCCGGAAAGAAAUCCUUGGCUCUAAUACAGUCGGGGGAUGACGGUACCGGAAGAAUAAGCACCGGCUAACUACGUGCCAGCAGCCGCGGUAAUACGUAGGGUGCAAGCGUUAAUCGGAAUUACUGGGCGUAAAGCGUGCGCAGGCGGUUUGCUAAGACCGAUGUGAAAUCCCCGGGCUCAACCUGGGAACUGCAUUGGUGACUGGCAGGCUAGAGUAUGGCAGAGGGGGGUAGAAUUCCACGUGUAGCAGUGAAAUGCGUAGAGAUGUGGAGGAAUACCGAUGGCGAAGGCAGCCCCCUGGGCCAAUACUGACGCUCAUGCACGAAAGCGUGGGGAGCAAACAGGAUUAGAUACCCUGGUAGUCCACGCCCUAAACGAUGUCAACUAGUUGUUGGGGAUUCAUUUCCUUAGUAACGUAGCUAACGCGUGAAGUUGACCGCCUGGGGAGUACGGUCGCAAGAUUAAAACUCAAAGGAAUUGAC